This 151-nucleotide small nuclear RNA is filed under the name Physcomitrium patens. RNAcentral's name for it is "snRNA U1". It matches the Rfam family "U1 spliceosomal RNA". Rfam says of the family: U1 is a small nuclear RNA (snRNA) component of the spliceosome (involved in pre-mRNA splicing). Its 5' end forms complementary base pairs with the 5' splice junction, thus defining the 5' donor site of an intron. There are significant differences in sequence and secondary structure between metazoan and yeast U1 snRNAs, the latter being much longer (568 nucleotides as compared to 164 nucleotides in human). The record is from RNAcentral. Lineage: Eukaryota; Viridiplantae; Streptophyta; Bryopsida; Funariales; Funariaceae.
UUGCUUACCUGGGCGAAGUCAAUCCAUGGCCAGGAUGGUAGAUGACUUAGGGUAACCUGCUCCAUUGCACUUUCGGGCCGUUUGACUCUAGUAUCUCUCUACGGAGGGCAUAGUUUGUGGCAGCGGAGGCUUGCGUUCGCGCGGCUCUCAC